GACGAACGCUGGCGGCGUGCCUAAUACAUGCAAGUCGAACGCAGUGGGGACGGGUGCGUAACACGUGGGUAACCUCCCAUCAGAGGGGAUAACACUUGGAAACAGGUGCUAAACCGAUACUGAUGGAUGGACUCGCGGUGCAUUAGCUAGUUGGUGGGGUAACGGCUCACCAAGGCCACGAUGCAUAGCGGGCCUGAGAGGGUGAUCGGCCACACUGGGACUGAGACACGGCCCAGACUCCUACGGGAGGCAGCAGUAGGGAAUCUUGGGCAAUGGGCGAAAGCCUGAUGCAGCAAUGCCGCGUGAAUGAAGAAGGUUUUCGGGUCGUAAAGUUCUGUUGGUAGAGAAGCGUUAUCUAACCAGAAAGCCACGGCUAACUACGUGCCAGCAGCCGCGGUAAUUC
RNAcentral lists this ribosomal RNA (403 nucleotides) under uncultured bacterium. RNAcentral's name for it is "partial 16S ribosomal RNA". It matches the Rfam family "Bacterial small subunit ribosomal RNA", at positions 28 to 526 of the family's 1533-position model. The record is from RNAcentral.